UUAGUUAAGUGAACGAUGGCGCACGGUGAAUGCCUUGGCACCAGGAGCCGACGAAGGACGGGACUAACACCGAUAUGCCCCGGUGAGUCGUAAGUAGACUGCGACCCGGGGAUUUCCGAAUGGGGCAACCCGCUGUCCGUAAUGGGGCAGUACUUGUGUCUGAAUUCAUAGGGCACAAGAGGCACACCCGGGGAACUGAAACAUCUCAGUACCCCGGAGAAGAGAAAGCAACGCGAUUUCCCCGGAGUAGCGGCGAAGCGAAACGGAAACAGCCCAAACCGGAAAGCGAUGCUUUCCGGGGUAGAAGGACACGCCAUGGGAGUUAUCAAGAAAUGGCUUAGACGAAUCGAUCUGGAAUGAUCAGCCGAAAAAGGUAAGAGCCCUGUAGUCGAAAAGCCAUUUCCUCCGGCGUGGAUCCUGAGUACGGCGGAACACGGGAAAUUCCGUCGGAAUCCGGGAGGACCAUCUCCCAAGGCUAAAUACUCCCUGGUGACCGAUAGUGAACCAGUACCGUGAGGGAAAGGUGAAAAGCACCCCGGAAGGGGAGUGAAACAGAACCUGAAACCGUGUGCCUGCAAGUAGUCGAAGCCCGUUAAUGGGUGACGGCGUACCUUUUGUAGAAUGGACCGGCGAGUUGCGAUUGUAUGCAAGGUUAAGUGGCAAACACGGAGCCGAGCCGAGUCGAGGCGUAAACAGUAUACGGUCGCAGACCCGAAACCGUGUGAUCUACCCAUGUCCAGGGUGAAGGUCAGGUAACACUGACUGGAGGCCCGAACCCACGUAUGCUGAAAAAUGCGGGGAUGAGGUGUGGGUAGGGGUGAAAUGCCAAUCGAACACGGAGAUAGCUGGUUCUCUCCGAAAUAGCUUUAGGGCUAGCCUCAGGGAGAAGCGUUCUGGAGGUAGAGCAACUGAUUGGACUAGGGGCCCUCCACCGUUACCGAAUUUCAGUCAAACUUCCGAAUGCCAGUAACGCAACCCUGGGAGUCAGACUAUGGGUGAUAAGGUUCAUAGUCGAAAGGGAAACAGCCCGGACCGCCAGCUAAGGUCCCUAAGUAUACGUUAAGUGGAAAAGGAUGUGGAGUUGCCCAGACAACCAGUAUGUUGGCUUAGAAGCAGCCAUCAUUUAAAGAGUGCGUAAUAGCUCACUGGUCGAGUGACUCUGCGCCGAAAAUGUACCGGGGCUAAACGUAUCACCGAAGCUGCGGAUUUGUUCGUCGAACAAUGGUAGGAGAGCGUUCCAAAUGCUGCCGAAGUCAAGACGUGAGGACUGGUGGAGCGUUUGGAAGUGAGAAUGCCGGUAUGAGUAGCGAAAAAAGAGUGAGAAUCUCUUUCACCGAAAGCCUAAGGUUUCCUGAGGAAGGCUCGUCCGCUCAGGGUUAGUCGGGACCUAAGCCGAGGCCGAAAGGCGUAGGCGAUGGCCAACAGGCAGAUAUUCCUGUACCACCUUGUGAGCGUUUGAACGAUGGGGGGACGCAGCAGGAUAGGGAAAGCGCACUGUCGGAAUUGUGCGCCCAAGCAGUGAGGGAGUUGGACAGGUAAAUCCGUCUGACAAUCCCAAGCUGUGACGGGAGGGGAAAUUGAGUACCGAAGUUCCUGAUUCCACACUGCCAAGAAAAGCCUCUAGUGAGUUCACAGGUGCCCGUACCGCAAACCGACACAGGUAGGCGAGGAGAGAAUCCUAAGGUGAUCGGGAGAACUCUCGUUAAGGAACUCGGCAAAAUGACCCCGUAACUUCGGGAGAAGGGGUGCUCACACCGAGUGAGCCGCAGUGAAUAGGCCCAAGCGACUGUUUACCAAAAACACAGGUCUCUGCGAAGCCGAAAGGCGAAGUAUAGGGGCUGACACCUGCCCGGUGCUGGAAGGUUAAGGGGACGCGUUAGCGUGCUUGUCACGCGAAGCGCCAAACCGAAGCCCCAGUAAACGGCGGCCGUAACUAUAACGGUCCUAAGGUAGCGAAAUUCCUUGUCGGGUAAGUUCCGACCCGCACGAAAGGUGCAACGACUUGGGCACUGUCUCAACGAGAGACCCGGUGAAAUUAUACUAUGCGUGAAGAUGCGCAUUACCCGCGACUGGACGGAAAGACCCCGUGGAGCUUUACUGCACCUUGAUGUUGAAUGUUGGUACAGCUUGUACAGGAUAGGUGGGAGCCGUCGAAACGUGAGCGCCAGCUUACGUGGGAGGCACCGUGGGGAUACCCACCCUGGCUGUACGAACAUUCUAACCCAGGACCGUAAUCCGGUCCGGAGACAGUGUCAGGCAGGCAGUUUGACUGGGGCGGUCGCCUCCCAAAAGGUAACGGAGGCGCCCAAAGGUUCCCUCAGAAUGGUUUGGAAAUCAUUCGCAGAGUGGCAAAGGCAGAAGGGAGCUUGACUGCGAGACCUACAAGUCGAGCAGGGACGAAAGUCGGGCUUAGUGAUCCGGUGGUCCCGCAUGGAAGGGCCAUCGCUCAACGGAUAAAAGCUACCCCGGGGAUAACAGGCUUAUCUCCCCCAAGAGUUCACAUCGACGGGGAGGUUUGGCACCUCGAUGUCGGCUCAUCGCAUCCUGGGGCUGUAGUCGGUCCCAAGGGUUGGCUGUCGCCCAUUAAAGCGGUACGCGAGCUGGGUUCAGAACGUCGUGAGAGACAAGUUCGGUCCCUAUCCGUCGUGGCGCUGGAAGUCUGAGAGGAGCUGUCCUUAGUACGAGAGGACCGGGAUGGACACACCGCUGGUGUACCAGUUGUUCCGCCAGGAGCACAGCUGGGUAGCUACGUGUGGCAAGGAUAAGUGCUGAAAGCAUCUAAGCAUGAAGCCCCCCUCAAGAUGAAACUUCCCAUCACUUUAAGUGAGUAAGAUCCCUCAGAGACGAUGAGGUGGAUAGGUCCGAGGUGGAAGCGUGGCGACACGUGGAGCUGACAGAUACUAAUCGAUCGAGGACUUAACUAAA
This 2925-nucleotide ribosomal RNA is filed under the name Lentibacillus sp. CBA3610. Its description in RNAcentral is "23S ribosomal RNA". It matches the Rfam family "Bacterial large subunit ribosomal RNA". The record is from RNAcentral. Lineage: Bacteria; Bacillati; Bacillota; Bacilli; Caryophanales; Bacillaceae.